RNAcentral lists this unclassified non-coding RNA (385 nucleotides) under Hevea brasiliensis (rubber tree). Lineage: Eukaryota; Viridiplantae; Streptophyta; Magnoliopsida; Malpighiales; Euphorbiaceae. The record is from RNAcentral.
GAAGUAAUAGAAACUCCCUAUUUGAUCCUUCACUUGUAGAUUGAAUGUGUUAUUUCUCCCUGGGGGUAUUGGGCAUGUUGUUCCAUAUACUCCAUCAACGAAUGAGUUUCUCCUGUUCUGUACUCCGUUCCAGGAAAGUAGAAAAGGUUCAUCCAAGCUGUUGUGGAUAUUGAUAACGAGAUUGUCAUUGGUGACCGAGUUGAUAUCAGGACCAGGAAAUUGACCAUUAAUCAGAAUUCCCUGUUGAGGAACUCCGAGAGGAUAUAUAGUUCCAUAAGUGACAUUCCAAUCGAAAUAUCUAUAAGGAUCUUCUGCUACAACAGAAUUCCCAGAUAAUACCACUAAAAACACCGCUACGGCGAAUUUUAGCGGCAACAUAUUUUUC